RNAcentral lists this ribosomal RNA (406 nucleotides) under uncultured bacterium. RNAcentral describes it as "partial 16S ribosomal RNA". It matches the Rfam family "Bacterial small subunit ribosomal RNA", at positions 30 to 526 of the family's 1533-position model. The record is from RNAcentral.
AUUGAACGCUGGCGGCAGGCCUAACACAUGCAAGUCGAACGAGGGGCGGACGGGUUAGUAAUGUAUGGGAAACUGCCUGAUGGAGGGGGAUAACUACUGGGAACGGUUGCUAAUAACGCAUACCAUCGGAUGUGCCCAGGUGGGAUUAGCUAGGUGGUGGGGUAACGGCUGACCAAGGCGACGAUCCCUAGCUGGUCUGAGAGGAUGACCAGGCACACUGGAACUGGGACACGGUCCAGAAUCCUACGGUAGGCAGCAGUGGGGAAUAUUGCACAAUGGGCGCAAGCCUGAUGCAGCCAUGCCGCGUGUAUGAAGAAGGCCUUCGGGUUGUAAAGUACUUUCAGCGGGGAGGCGUUACCCGCAGAAGAAGCACCGGCUAACUCCGUGCCAGCAGCCGCGGUAAUUC